This 21-nucleotide microRNA is filed under the name Schistosoma japonicum. RNAcentral describes it as "sja-miR-124-3p". Its record names the gene sja-miR-124-3p. RNAcentral also lists the same sequence under 1 other name. The record is from miRBase by way of RNAcentral. Lineage: Eukaryota; Metazoa; Platyhelminthes; Trematoda; Strigeidida; Schistosomatidae.
UAAGGCACGCGGUGAAUGUCA